This 464-nucleotide ribosomal RNA is filed under the name uncultured Klebsiella sp. Its description in RNAcentral is "bacterial SSU rRNA". It matches the Rfam family "Bacterial small subunit ribosomal RNA", at positions 338 to 795 of the family's 1533-position model. Lineage: Bacteria; Pseudomonadati; Pseudomonadota; Gammaproteobacteria; Enterobacterales; Enterobacteriaceae. The record is from RNAcentral.
CCUACGGGUGGCAGCAGUGGGGAAUAUUGCACAAUGGGCGCAAGCCCGAUGCAGCCAUGCCGCGUGUGUGAAGAAGGCCUUCGGGUUGUAAAGCACUUUCAGCGGGGAGGAAGGCGUUAAGGUUAAUAACCUUGCCGAUUGACGUUACCCGCAGAAGAAGCACCGGCUAACUCCGUGCCAGCAGCCGCGGUAAUACGGAGGGUGCAAGCGUUAAUCGGAAUUACUGGGCGUAAAGCGCACGCAGGCGGUCUGUCAAGUCGGAUGUGAAAUCCCCGGGCUCAACCUGGGAACUGCAUUCGAAACUGGCAGGCUAGAGUCUUGUAGAGGGGGUAGAAUCCCAGGUGUAGCGGUGAAAUGCGUAGAGAUCUGGAGGAAUACCGGUGGCGAAGGCGGCCCCCUGGACAAAGACUGACGCUCAGGUGCGAAAGCGUGGGGAGCAAACAGGAUUAGAUACCCGAGUAGUC